AGGGUCUGGCAGUGAUCCUGGCACUAGUCAUAAUGUUGAAAGGCAGGCAAUACAAAGAAAUGGUCGUAGGCACUCAGCCAGUCGCUGGCUGUUGUCUCCAAAGUCACAAUGGAAUUAUGUGCCAAAUGGUUUCCAUGCAAGUCUGAAUUCUCAGGCACCAAAACUUGGCAGCAUGCAGAAGCAUGGAAAUCACAGGGACUCAAAACCAGUGCAUUCAAUCAAUGGCAACAGAAAGUGGAGCCGAAAACCUAAACCAGAUUA
RNAcentral lists this unclassified non-coding RNA (261 nucleotides) under Hevea brasiliensis (rubber tree). The record is from RNAcentral. Lineage: Eukaryota; Viridiplantae; Streptophyta; Magnoliopsida; Malpighiales; Euphorbiaceae.